GACGAACGCUGGCGGCGUGCCUAAUACAUGCAAGUCGAACGCACGAAGUUGAAGAGCUUGCUCUUUAACCAAGUGAGUGGCGGACGGGUGAGUAACACGUGGGUAACCUGCCCAUUAGAGGGGGAUAACAUUCGGAAACGGAUGCUAAUACCGCAUAGUUUCAGGAAUCGCAUGAUUCUUGAAGGAAAGGUGGCUUCGGCUACCACUAAUGGAUGGACCCGCGGCGUAUUAGCUAGUUGGUGAGGUAAUGGCUCACCAAGGCAAUGAUACGUAGCCGACCUGAGAGGGUGAUCGGCCACACUGGGACUGAGACACGGCCCAGACUCCUACGGGAGGCAGCAGUAGGGAAUCUUCCGCAAUGGACGAAAGUCUGACGGAGCAACGCCGCGUGAGUGAAGAAGGUUUUCGGAUCGUAAAACUCUGUUGUUAAAGAAGAACAAGGAUGAGAGUAACUGCUCAUCCCCUGACGGUAUUUAACCAGAAAGCCACGGCUAACUACGUGCCAGCCGCCGCCGUAACAC
This 521-nucleotide ribosomal RNA is filed under the name uncultured bacterium. RNAcentral describes it as "bacterial SSU rRNA". It matches the Rfam family "Bacterial small subunit ribosomal RNA", at positions 28 to 526 of the family's 1533-position model. The record is from RNAcentral.